UCUGGGACAAGCCCUGGAAACGGGGUCUAAUACCGGAUACUGACCCUCGCAGGCAUCUGCGAGGUUCGAAAGCUCCGGCGGUGCAGGAUGAGCCCGCGGCCUAUCAGCUUGUUGGUGAGGUAAUGGCUCACCAAGGCGACGACGGGUAGCCGGCCUGAGAGGGCGACCGGCCACACUGGGACUGAGACACGGCCCAGACUCCUACGGGAGGCAGCAGUGGGGAAUAUUGCACAAUGGGCGAAAGCCUGAUGCAGCGACGCCGCGUGAGGGAUGACGGCCUUCGGGUUGUAAACCUCUUUCAGCAGGGAAGAAGCGAAAGUGACGGUACCUGCAGAAGAAGCGCCGGCUAACUACGUGCCAGCAGCCGCGGUAAUACAUAGGGCGCAAGCGUUGUCCGGAAUUAUUGGGCGUAAAGAGCUCGUAGGCGGCUUGUCGCGUCGGUUGUGAAAGCCCGGGGCUUAACCCCGGGUCUGCAGUCGAUACGGGCAGGCUAGAGUUCGGUAGGGGAGAUCGGAAUUCCUGGUGUAGCGGUGAAAUGCGCAGAUAUCAGGAGGAACACCGGUGGCGAAGGCGGAUCUCUGGGCCGAUACUGACGCUGAGGAGCGAAAGCGUGGGGAGCGAACAGGAUUAGAUACCCUGGUAGUCCACGCCGUAAACGGUGGGCACUAGGUGUGGGCAACAUUCCACGUUGUCCGUGCCG
This 700-nucleotide ribosomal RNA is filed under the name Streptomyces tendae. RNAcentral describes it as "bacterial SSU rRNA". It matches the Rfam family "Bacterial small subunit ribosomal RNA", at positions 137 to 848 of the family's 1533-position model. The record is from RNAcentral. Lineage: Bacteria; Bacillati; Actinomycetota; Actinomycetes; Kitasatosporales; Streptomycetaceae.